GAAGUUUUCAGAGAUGAGAAUGUGCCUUCGGGAACCGUGAGACAGGUGCUGCAUGGCUGUCGUCAGCUCGUGUUGUGAAAUGUUGGGUUAAGUCCCGCAACGAGCGCAACCCUUAUCCUUUGUUGCCAGCGGUCCGGCCGGGAACUCAAAGGAGACUGCCAGUGAUAAACUGGAGGAAGGUGGGGAUGACGUCAAGUCAUCAUGGCCCUUACGACCAGGGCUACACACGUGCUACAAUGGCGCAUACAAAGAGAAGCGACCUCGCGAGAGCAAGCGGACCUCAUAAAGUGCGUCGUAGUCCGGAUUGGAGUCUGCAACUCGACUCCAUGAAGUCGGAAUCGCUAGUAAUCGUGGAUCAGAAUGCCACGGUGAAUACGUUCCCGGGCCUUGUACACACCGCCCGUCACACCAUGGGAGUGGGUUGCAAAAGAAGUAGGUAGCUUAACCUUCGGGAGGGCGCUUACCACUUUGUGAUUCAUGACUGGGGUGAAGUCGUAACAAGGUAACCGUA
RNAcentral lists this ribosomal RNA (511 nucleotides) under Escherichia coli. Its description in RNAcentral is "bacterial SSU rRNA". It matches the Rfam family "Bacterial small subunit ribosomal RNA", at positions 993 to 1504 of the family's 1533-position model. The record is from RNAcentral. Lineage: Bacteria; Pseudomonadati; Pseudomonadota; Gammaproteobacteria; Enterobacterales; Enterobacteriaceae.